GGGGGUGUAGCUCAGUUGGUUAGAGCGCUGGCCUGUCACGCCAGAGGUCGCGGGUUCGAGUCCCGUCACUCCCG
Molecule: non-coding RNA, 74 nt
Organism: Rhizobiales bacterium TMED168
Lineage: Bacteria; Pseudomonadati; Pseudomonadota; Alphaproteobacteria; Hyphomicrobiales
Source: Rfam